UUCAACGGCCGCGGUAUCCUAACCGUGCAAAGGUAGCAUAANCACUUGUCUCCUAAAUAGAGACCUGUAUGAACGGCUAAAUGAGGAUAAAUCUGUCUCCUUUAACAAAUCAGUGAAACUGAUCUACCAGUACAAAAGCUGGUAUAACCCCAUAAGACGAGAAGACCCUGUGGAGCUUUAAAUUUAAGCCAAGCAGCCAAAACAAAUACAGCUAAUGGCUAAAAAUUUUAAGUUGGGGCGACUUCGGAAAAAACCAAAACUUCCGAGCAUGACACCAUGUCUUACUAAGACCAACAAGUCAAAGCUAAAACUUGACCCAGUAUAACUGAUAAGCGAACCAAGUUACCCCAGGGAUAACAGCGCAAUCUUCUUCAAGAGUUCAUAUCGACAAGAAGGUUUACGACCUCGAUGUUGGAUCAGGAC
This 423-nucleotide ribosomal RNA is filed under the name Sceloporus formosus. RNAcentral describes it as "partial 16S ribosomal RNA". It matches the Rfam family "Bacterial large subunit ribosomal RNA", at positions 1923 to 2543 of the family's 2925-position model. Lineage: Eukaryota; Metazoa; Chordata; Lepidosauria; Squamata; Phrynosomatidae. The record is from RNAcentral.